GUGAGGAAUAUUGGACAAUGGAGGAAACUCUGAUCCAGCCAUGCCGCGUGAGUGAUGAAGGCCUUCGGGUUGUAAAACUCUUUUAGGUGUGAAAAUGAUGAUGGUAGCACCAGAAAAAGCUCCGGCUAACUUCGUGCCAGCAGCCGCGGUAAUACGAAGGGAGCGAGCGUUGUUCGGAAUCACUGGGCUUAAAGCGUGCGUAGGCGGAAGUGUAAGUCAGAAGUGAAAGCCCAGGGCUCAACCUUGGAAUUGCUUUUGAGACUGCAUUUCUAGAAUUCGGUAGAGGCUAGUGGAAUGUCCAGUGUAGAGGUGAAAUUCGCAGAUAUUGGACGGAACACCAGUGGCGAAGGCGACUAGCUGGGCCGAUAUUGACGCUGAGGCACGAAAGCGUGGGUAGCAAACAGG
Molecule: ribosomal RNA, 405 nt
Filed under: uncultured Vibrionaceae bacterium
Lineage: Bacteria; Pseudomonadati; Pseudomonadota; Gammaproteobacteria; Vibrionales; Vibrionaceae
Description: bacterial SSU rRNA
Rfam family: Bacterial small subunit ribosomal RNA
Source: RNAcentral